RNAcentral lists this ribosomal RNA (253 nucleotides) under uncultured bacterium. RNAcentral describes it as "partial 16S ribosomal RNA". It matches the Rfam family "Bacterial small subunit ribosomal RNA", at positions 524 to 776 of the family's 1533-position model. The record is from RNAcentral.
UGCGGAGGAUGCAAGCGUUAUCCGGAAUGAUUGGGCGUAAAGCGUCCGCAGGUGGCUGUGUAAGUCUGCUGUCAAAGAGCAAAGCUCAACUUUGUAAAGGCAGUGGAAACUACACGGCUAGAGUGCGUUCGGGGCAGAGGGAAUUCCUGGUGUAGCGGUGAAAUGCGUAGAGAUCAGGAAGAACACCGGUGGCGAAGGCGCUCUGCUAGGCCGCAACUGACACUGAGGGACGAAAGCUAGGGGAGCGAAUGGG